UACGGAGGGUGCAAGCGUUAAUCGGAAUUACUGGGCGUAAAGCGCGCGUAGGUGGCUUGAUAAGCCGGUUGUGAAAGCCCCGGGCUCAACCUGGGAACGGCAUCAGGAACUGUCAAGCUAGAGUGCAGGCGAGGAAGGUAGAAUUCCCGGUGUAGCGGUGAAAUGCGUAGAGAUCGGGAGGAAUACCAGUGGCGAAGGCGGCCUUCUGGACUGACAGUGACACUGAGGUGCGAAAGCGGGGGUAGGAAACAAG
RNAcentral lists this unclassified non-coding RNA (253 nucleotides) under uncultured Halomonadaceae bacterium. RNAcentral's name for it is "contains 16S-23S intergenic spacer region". It matches the Rfam family "Bacterial small subunit ribosomal RNA", at positions 524 to 776 of the family's 1533-position model. Lineage: Bacteria; Pseudomonadati; Pseudomonadota; Gammaproteobacteria; Oceanospirillales; Halomonadaceae. The record is from RNAcentral.